RNAcentral lists this ribosomal RNA (253 nucleotides) under uncultured bacterium. Its description in RNAcentral is "partial 16S ribosomal RNA". It matches the Rfam family "Bacterial small subunit ribosomal RNA", at positions 524 to 776 of the family's 1533-position model. The record is from RNAcentral.
UACGUAGGUGGCGAGCGCUAUCCGGAAUUACUGGGCGUAAAGCGCACGCAGGCGGCUCAUUAAGUUUGACGUGAAAUCUCCCGGCUUAACCGGGAGGGGCCGUUGAAAACUGAUAAGCUUGAGGCGAUGAGAGGGGUGUGGAAUUCCCGGUGUAGUGGUGGAAUGCGUAGAUAUCGGGAGGAACACCAGAGGCGAAAGCGACACCCUGGCAUUUGCCUGACGCUGAGAUGCGAAAGCGUGGGGAGCAAACGGG